RNAcentral lists this unclassified non-coding RNA (599 nucleotides) under Zea mays. RNAcentral describes it as "misc RNA Zm00001eb020990". Lineage: Eukaryota; Viridiplantae; Streptophyta; Magnoliopsida; Poales; Poaceae. The record is from RNAcentral.
CACGCGGACGGACCGCCCCGCGCGGGCCUCGGCGUCCAGGAGCUCCGCCAGAGUCUCCGACCCCGCGGCCUCCAUCCGGCGCACGUAUUCCGCGGUGUCCGGGCACGAGGAGAUCCCGCCGUCGUCGAAGCCGUCCGAGAUGGCGGCCACGGGGAUGGGGCACGACCUGGAGGUGGAGGUGGUGGAGAGGACGUGGCGGGAGACCACCAAGGUGGGGCGCAGGCCGUGGAAGGCCAGCCGCCGGCCAAGCUGGAGCAUCGGGUUCGCGUGGCCCUGCAUCCCAGGGAACGGCAGGAGCAGGACGUGCGCGUCGCCGCCUUGGACGAUUGUGGUUGCGGCGCCGUCGUCCAUGGCUCCGUAUUCGUCGCGUUGCAACUUGCAAUUGAAAUUGCUACAUGGCUGCUCAGUGCUCACUCGCUGAACUGACUGCGUAAGUAAUGGACCAGUGGAGUAGCGCGCAAGCUUUUUGGAUUGCGAAUGGGGGGAGAGUUAGAUGACGAGCGUGAGCUCAGCUCAAACUCGCCGUUGUGGGGAAGAGAGAACAAGUUAGAAUUCUCCUGCGUUAUUUUAGCGCAAAUAUAGCGAGUGCACGUGGCGGG